This 107-nucleotide small nuclear RNA is filed under the name Myotis brandtii (Brandt's bat). The record is from RNAcentral. Lineage: Eukaryota; Metazoa; Chordata; Mammalia; Chiroptera; Vespertilionidae.
GAGCUUGCUUCGGCAGCACAUAUACUAAAAUUGGAAUGAUACAGAGAAGAUUAGCAUGGCCCCUGGGCAAGGAUGACACGCAAAUUCGUGAAGCAUUCCACAUUAAA